RNAcentral lists this small RNA (1035 nucleotides) under Arabidopsis thaliana (thale cress). RNAcentral describes it as "putative long intergenic non-coding RNA". The stretch from base 449 to 589 matches the Rfam family "U4 spliceosomal RNA". Lineage: Eukaryota; Viridiplantae; Streptophyta; Magnoliopsida; Brassicales; Brassicaceae. The record is from RNAcentral.
AUACCCUAAAGCAAUGAGUGGGGAAGACAAUGAGGAGUAAAAAUGGUAGAGAACCGGACGCGAGAAAAAAACUUACCUGGACUGGACGGAGUCAACUCAGGAUCAAGAAAACGAGUGGCCUAGGCUAGUGACUUGCUUAGCCUAAGAUCUUCCCAAGUGGAAGAGCCUAUGUACGUCAUUGUUUGUGGAAGAUGGGGUUUGGGUUCGCGCAGCCCCUAUCAUCUAUAUCAGUCAUAAUAAUUACAUAUGUUCCAUAAUAAGAUAAGUUUGGUGGUGUUGUCUAAAUAAGUGUGGAGAGUAACAGUUUCCUGAUUUAUUAGUUUGGUACCAGUGGUCCUACAUCGGAAAUAGAUACCAAGUUUGUAACGAUGUAUGUUUAUUACUUUGUUAUGUUUUGAUAUGUUUUGUUUGGCCGUAUAAAUAAAGAGGCUAACCUUCCUUGAAACUCAUCUUUGCGCUUGGGGCAAUGACAUAGCUAAUGAGGUUUUAAACGAGACGCGUCUAUUGAUGGUUGACAACCAUUUCCACAACCCCAUCCUAGGCCUAAGCUUGUCUUUGGCCUUUGAGAAUUUCGAGACCAACACUAGAGAAACUAGGCAUUGAUAUAUGGUUAGAUACGUGGCAAUACAUGAGUGGAGACAGUAGCUGUGAGACGUGGCAAGAGAAGAUUGGUCGAUGGGAGUGUUAGAGGAAGAAUCGAGAUGCAGAGAUAUAUAGCUAAUGAAGAUCAUUUGCAGAAGAUAAGAAGAUUUUGGAUUUGUUGUUUAUAGUUUCCUUUUGGAUUCUCUCUUAGAAUCGUUCCUCAUCGUUCGCCGGAGUUUCAUGUUGAACUCUUGUAGAUGAGAAGUUGAUAUCGCGUUUCAUGAACGUUGUAUCAAUCUGUCAUUUUCAUUAAUCGAAGCAUUCUAUUUCGUUACUCUGUUUUCCGUUAUCACUUUUGAUUAAAACCAGAAUCCACUUGACUUAUCUCAUGAAGUUGCUUAAUGAUCAUUCCUCUCUGAGAUUAUAUUGUUCAUUUUGUGGUAGACGUGGCAG